Molecule: ribosomal RNA, 278 nt
Filed under: uncultured Oscillospiraceae bacterium
Lineage: Bacteria; Bacillati; Bacillota; Clostridia; Eubacteriales; Oscillospiraceae
Description: partial 16S ribosomal RNA
Rfam family: Bacterial small subunit ribosomal RNA
Source: RNAcentral
GCAGCCGCGGUAAUACGUAGGUGGCGAGCGUUAUCCGGAAUUACUGGGUGUAAAGGGUGUGUAGGCGGGGAGGCAAGUCAGGUGUGAAAUUUAUGGGCUCAACCCAUAAACUGCACUUGAAACUGUCUUUCUUGAGUGUGGGAGAGGUAAACGGAAUUCCUGGUGUAGUAGUGAAAUGCGUAGAUAUCAGGAGGAACACCGGUGGCGAAGGCGGUUUACUGGACCACAACUGACGCUGAGACACGAAAGCGUGGGGAGCAAACAGGAUUAGAUACCCC